CCAUGCAUGUCUAAGUACAUGCCGUAUUAAGGCGAAACCGCGAAUGGCUCAUUAAAUCAGUUAUGGUUCCUUGGAUCGUACCUUACUACUUGGAUAACUGUGGCAAUUCUAGAGCUAAUACAUGCAGCAGAGCUCCGACCUUCGGGGACGAGCGCUUUUAUUAGACCAAAACCAAUCGGACCUCGUGUCCGUUCUGUGUGGUGACUCUGUAUAACUUUGGGCUGAUCGCACGGGCCUGUCCCGGCGACGUAUCUUUCAAGUGUCUGCCUUAUCAACUUUCGAUGGUAGGUUACGCGCCUACCAUGGUCGUAACGGGUAACGGGGAAUCAGGGUUCGAUUCCGGAGAGGGAGCCUGAGAAACGGCUACCACAUCCAAGGAAGGCAGCAGGCGCGCAAAUUACCCACUCCCGGAACGGGGAGGUAGUGACGAAAAAUAACAAUACGGGACUCUUUUGAGACCCCGUAAUUGGAAUGAGUACACUCUAAAUCCUUUAACGAGGAUCCAUUGGAGGGCAAGUCUGGUGCCAGCAGCCGCGGUAAUUCCAGCUCCAAUAGCGUAUAUUAAAGUUGUUGCGGUUAAAAAGCUCGUAGUUGGAUCUCAGUUCCAGACAGGUGGUCCGCCUACCGGUGGUUACUGCCCGUUCUGAACAGCCAGCCGGUUUCUCUUGAUGAUCUUCACCGGUUGUCUUGGGUGACCGGCAAGUUUACUUUGAAAAAAUUAGAGUGCUCAAAGCAGGCGUGACGCCUGAAUAAUGGUGCAUGGAAUAAUGGAAUAGGACCUCGGUUCUAUUUUGUUGGUUUUCGGAACACGAGGUAAUGAUUAAGAGGGACAGACGGGGGCAUUCGUAUUGCGACGCUAGAGGUGAAAUUCUUGGACCGUCGCAAGACGAACUACUGCGAAAGCAUUUGCCAAGAAUGUUUCCAUUAAUCAAGAACGAAAGUUAGAGGUUCGAAGGCGAUCAGAUACCGCCCUAGUUCUAACCAUAAACGAUGCCAGCCAGCGAUCCGGCUGUGUUCCUCAAAUGACACGCCGGGCAGCUUCCGGGAAACCAAAGCUUUUGGGUUCCGGGGGAAGUAUGGUUGCAAAGCUGAAACUUAAAGGAAUUGACGGAAGGGCACCACCAGGAUUGGAGCCUGCGGCUUAAUUUGACUCAACACGGGACAACUUACCAGGUCCGGACAUAGGAAGGAUUGACAGAUUAAGAGCUCUUUCUUGAUUCUAUGGGGUGUGGUGCAUGGCCGUUCU
This 1246-nucleotide ribosomal RNA is filed under the name Vidole capensis. RNAcentral describes it as "SSU rRNA". It matches the Rfam family "Eukaryotic small subunit ribosomal RNA", at positions 49 to 1294 of the family's 1831-position model. The record is from RNAcentral. Lineage: Eukaryota; Metazoa; Arthropoda; Arachnida; Araneae; Phyxelididae.